This 431-nucleotide ribosomal RNA is filed under the name uncultured bacterium. RNAcentral describes it as "bacterial SSU rRNA". It matches the Rfam family "Bacterial small subunit ribosomal RNA", at positions 29 to 506 of the family's 1533-position model. The record is from RNAcentral.
ACGAACGCUGGCGGCAGGCUUACCACAUGCAAGUCGAACGAAGGCUUCGGCCUUAGUGGCGCACGGGUGAGUAACACGUGGGAAUAUACCUCUCAGUGGGGGAUAACGUCGGGAAACUGACGCUAAUACCGCAUACGCCCUUCGGGGGAAAGAUUUAUCGCUGAGAGAUUAGCCCGCGUCCGAUUAGCUAGUUGGUAAGGUAAUGGCUUACCAAGGCUACGAUCGGUAGCUGGUCUGAGAGGAUGAUCAGCCACACUGGGACUGAGACACGGCCCAGACUCCUACGGGAGGCAGCAGUGGGGAAUAUUGGACAAUGGGGGAAACCCUGAUCCAGCGAUGCCGCGUGAGUGAUGAAGGCCUUAGGGUUGUAAAGCUCUUUCGCCCGUGAGGAUGAUGACGGGAGCGGGAGAAGAAGCCCCGGCUAACUCCGU